Molecule: long non-coding RNA, 1368 nt
Filed under: Callithrix jacchus (white-tufted-ear marmoset)
Lineage: Eukaryota; Metazoa; Chordata; Mammalia; Primates; Cebidae
Description: lncRNA (ENSCJAG00000079219.1)
Source: RNAcentral
AUGUCCUCGGGUCAAUGGGGUAAAGUUCCCAGCCGAGUGGAAGGUAAAUCACGACUGUGGCGCCUGAGCUGGAACACCCCCGCGGGCAGGCCUUGCCCGGUAGUUCCUUGCGGGGCGGACUGCACAGCCCCGUCAGUGUCCCAGCCACAGAAACGCCGCACGCGGCCGCUCCCCCGCCGCCCGAAGCGUCUGCGUUCUCCCCGGGCCAGUUCCGGCCACCACACGCAACCGCGUGCCCCUCUCCCACACACUGUGGGGGAACAGAAGGGAGAGCGUGGAGCCAGCUGCCAAAGAGGCGAGGAGGAGCCCACGCGGCUCCCGGAAGGAGGGAGCCGGGCGCCCGCAGUCGCCGGGCAGAGGUGGCCGAGCGCGCCCCCAGCACCUGGCCCGGCGCCUGCCCGUCCGCCUCCCAGCCCAGGCGACGCGAGCGGCCAGUGCUGUCAGACCCCCUCCCAGCCUGGCCGCGAACGCGUCCGUCAGCCCCAACUGUUCCAGACUCUUCUCCCCGCUACAGAGACGCCCGAGUCCCCCGGCCUCGGCCCCCACCGCCCUCACCCCGGUACCUGUGCCUGGCUGGCACGGGACCCUCUCCGUCCCGUCCCCGCCUGCUCCCGCCCCGGCUCACCCCGGCCGCCGGGACCCGACCCCGACCCCGACCCCGACCCCGACCCCGACCCCGCCGCCAGCACGCGGCCGCACAAAGCGCGCCGCCCCGCGGGCCAGGACAAAGCGGGCGGGGGCGCCGGCACCUACCUCGGCGCGGAGCGGGGGCGCGGCGGGCGGGGACGCACGGGUGGUUGCCGCGCCCGCAGCCCGGCCGCGAGGGGCGUUUGCUGGCAGCGGCCGGGCGCACGGCGGAUGGCGGGCGGGCGCUGUCACCGGGCGCGGGCGGCGCGGGGGGCGCGCGGGGCGGGCGGCGGCGGCGGCGGCGGGGCGCGUGGCGGCGGCGCGCGGGCGCGAGCGGCGGGACUGCGGCGCAGCGGAAGGAGGACAAUAGCCUCCCCCUGCCGCAGGCCUGCCGGCUCCCGCGGGAGGCCCGGGACCAUCUGGAGCCGGCAGCCCCGCGGGGCUCGGGGAGGGGCCGGAGUCGCCCCUUCCCCGCCCGGCGCCAUGGCAACCGCGGCCCCUCGCGGUGCUCCCCGUCGCUCCCAGCCCGGGGUCGCUGACCUGCCCCGGGGCGAACGCGGCUGCAGCUCCGAGGCCGGCUACCGACCCCCAGCCACCUUCCGUGCGGGUUCCCCCAAAACCCCGCCUUCCGGUCCUUGCUGGCCCUGGGUCCCCACCACAGCUUAUAGGGCUUGGUCCCCCCAGUGCGGACAACUCACCUUUGUCCCUAUUCUGCUUUUCCUCCAAAAUCCGUAUCCCUGA